ACCCCUGUGAGAAUGCCCUACAGCUCCCCGCCCGGGAACAAGGAGCCGGUAUCAGGCCCACAUUAGUGAACCCAUAACACCUUGCUUAGCCACACCCUCAAGGGAAUUCAGCAGUGAUAAACAUUAAGCCAUAAGUGAAAGCUUGACUUAGUUAAAGCUAAGAGGGCCAGUAAAACUCGUGCCAGCCACCGCGGUUAUACGAGAGGCCCAAGUUGAUACCAUUCGGCGUAAAGAGUGGUUAGGAUAAACAAAUACUAAAGCCGCACACCUUCAAAGCUGUUAUACGCACCCGAAGGCCAGAAGCUCAACCACGAAGGUAGCUUUAUAACCCUGACCCCACGAAAGCUUUGGCACAAACUGGGAUUAGAUACCCCACUAUGCCUAGCCCUAAACACUGGCACAAUACACCACACACCCUGCCCGCCCGGUAACUACGAGCACCAGCUUAAAACCCAAAGGACUUGGCGGUGCUUUAGACCCCCCUAGAGGAGCCUGUUCUAUAACCGAUAACCCCCGCUAAACCUCACCCUUCCUCGUUUAUUCCGCCUAUAUACCGCCGCCGUCAGCCUACCCUGUGAAGGCCUAAAUAGUGAGCACACUUAGCACAAACCCAAAACGUCAGGUCGAGGUGUAGCGCAUGGAAGGGAAAGAAAUGGGCUACACUCCCUACAACAGGGAACACGAAUGAUGUACUGAAAACUUUUACAUCUGAAGGAGGAUUUAGUAGUAAGUGGAAAAUAGCAUGUUCCCCUGAAACCGGCUCUAAAGCGCGCACACACCGCCCGUCACUCUCCCCAAGCACCCCUUUUAAUAACUAAGACCCCCUCUACUGCAAAGGGGAGGCAAGUCGUAACAUGGUAAGGGUACCAGAAGGUGCACUUGGUAAAAU
RNAcentral lists this non-coding RNA (889 nucleotides) under Lythrichthys eulabes. Its description in RNAcentral is "partial 12S ribosomal RNA". It matches the Rfam family "Bacterial small subunit ribosomal RNA", at positions 307 to 1533 of the family's 1533-position model. Lineage: Eukaryota; Metazoa; Chordata; Actinopteri; Perciformes; Setarchidae. The record is from RNAcentral.